This 301-nucleotide ribosomal RNA is filed under the name uncultured bacterium. RNAcentral's name for it is "partial 16S ribosomal RNA". It matches the Rfam family "Bacterial small subunit ribosomal RNA", at positions 509 to 808 of the family's 1533-position model. The record is from RNAcentral.
CAGCCGCCGCGGUAAUACGUAGGGGGCGAGCGUUGUCCGAAGUUACUGGGCGUAAAGAGCGCGUAGGCGGGUUCUUAAGUGAGGGGUGAAAGGUUCAGGGCUCAACCCGGACACUGCCUUUCAUACUGGGAACCUUGAGUGUGGGAGAGGCGAGUGGAAUGGUCGGUGUAGCGGUGAAAUGCGUAGAUAUCGAUCGGAACACCCAUGGCGAAGGCAGCUCGCUGGCCUACAACUGACGCUGAGGAGCGAAAGCGUGGGGAGCGAACAGGAUUAGAUACCCCAGUAGUCCCUGUCUCUUAUU